GAUGAAGAACGCAGCGAAAUGCGAUAAGUAAUGCGAAUUGCAGAAUUCAGUGAGUCAUCGAAUCUUUGAACGCACAUUGCGCCCUGUGGUAUUCCGCAGGGCAUGCCUGUUCGAGCGUCAUUUCAACCCUCAAGCUCUGCUUGGUGUUGGGCCCUGCCCGCUGCGGCCGGCCCUAAAGACAGUGGCGGUGCCGCCUGGCCCUGAGCGUAGUACAUCUCUCGCUCCAGUGCCCGGUGGUAGCCUGCCAGAACCCCAACUCUCGUGGUUGACCCCGGAUCAGGUAGGGAUACCCGCUGAACUUAAGCAUAUCAAUAAGCGGAGGA
RNAcentral lists this unclassified non-coding RNA (323 nucleotides) under soil metagenome. RNAcentral's name for it is "partial contains 5.8S ribosomal RNA, internal transcribed spacer 2, and large subunit ribosomal RNA". The stretch from base 1 to 120 matches the Rfam family "5.8S ribosomal RNA", at positions 35 to 154 of the family's 154-position model. The record is from RNAcentral.